Molecule: transfer RNA, 92 nt
Filed under: Coprinopsis cinerea AmutBmut pab1-1
Lineage: Eukaryota; Fungi; Basidiomycota; Agaricomycetes; Agaricales; Psathyrellaceae
Description: tRNA-Glu
Rfam family: tRNA
About the family: Transfer RNA (tRNA) molecules are approximately 80 nucleotides in length.
Source: RNAcentral
UCGGAUAUGGUGUAACGGCUAACAUUGCUGCCUCUCAUCAUCAUUAGAGAGUGUGUCCGCAGCAGCUCGGGGUUCGAUUCCCCGUAUCCGAA